RNAcentral lists this ribosomal RNA (490 nucleotides) under uncultured bacterium. Its description in RNAcentral is "partial 16S ribosomal RNA". It matches the Rfam family "Bacterial small subunit ribosomal RNA", at positions 30 to 507 of the family's 1533-position model. The record is from RNAcentral.
AUUGAACGCUGGCGGCAGGCUUAACACAUGCAAGUCGAGCGGUAACAGAGAGAAGCUUGCUUCUCUGCUGACGAGCGGCGGACGGGUGAGUAAUGCCUAGGAAUCUGCCUAGUAGUGGGGGAUAACUUGCCGAAAGGUAAGCUAAUACCGCAUACGUCCUACGGGAGAAAGGAGGGGACCUUCGGGCCUUUCGCUAUUAGAUGAGCCUAGGUCGGAUUAGUUAGUUGGUGAGGUAAUGGCUCACCAAGACCGCGAUCCGUAACUGGUCUGAGAGGAUGAUCAGUCACACUGGAACUGAGACACGGUCCAGACUCCUACGGGAGGCAGCAGUGGGGAAUAUUGGACAAUGGGGGGAACCCUGAUCCAGCCAUGCCGCGUGUGUGAAGAAGGUCUUAGGAUUGUAAAGCACGUUAAGUUGGGAGGAAGAGCAGUUAACUAAUAUUUGACUGUUUUGACGUUACCGACAGAAUAAGCACCGGCUAACUUCGUG